This is a long non-coding RNA of Equus caballus (horse), 4703 nucleotides long. The record is from Ensembl. NCBI's taxonomy places the organism in Eukaryota, Metazoa, Chordata, Mammalia, Perissodactyla, Equidae.
GAAAGUUUGACGGUUUUUUGUUGCUGUUGUUACUUGUAAUCAAAAGAACACAUCUUCCUUCCCCCUCCCUCUUCCACCCCCCCCCCCCAAGUACUCGCUAUCCCAUAUUCUACUUUAGUGAUUAGAUCUAGGGUGGGCUUAAGCGUCCCAGGUGGAAUGAAGCCUUUCUAGCAGGCAGAUUAGAUCUGCUGUUCACAAAGUGCGGGCUGCCCUGAUCCUCAAUGUCAGCUGAGAAGUCAAGUGAUCCAGAGUUGCAGCUUUAAAUGUCUUGGGUCUUUGCUGUGUCACCUGAGGGACACCAAGGCUUGGGGAGAUGCCAGCGUUGCAUCAGUUGCAGCACCCCCAUCUGAGCAAAAAGACCUCUCCUCAAUUCAAACCAGUUCAAUGCAUAAUUACUAAAGCCUGCUGUAUGUAAGGCACGACACUAGGCUGGGUUGCAAAGAUAAAUAAGGCAUCUCUGCCUUCUGGGAUCUUAACACAGGAUUUACAGACUAAAAUGCCCACAGGGGCCAGGCAGGUAAAGCUCAUGAGUAGGAUAUGGGUGGAGGCAGUUGGAAAGCCAGAGCUACAGCCAAUGAUAAAAGGCUGAGAUUCAGCCACGGUGUCAGGCAGGCGAUGGAGAGAAGACCCAGGGGCAGCAACGACUGAACUCUAGCAACUUCCACAUGGGAAUUCAGGCCCAUGCCACCAGAACUUUUCAAAAAGCUUUCGAAAACUAGCUUUUUAUGUGAAAUCUCCCAAUUUUUAAGUGUUGCCUCAAAGAUGUUAAAACCUGGUGGGAUCCGAACAGCACCCAUCUGUUGGACACAUCAGACAACGGGCCAUCAGUUUAUGGCCUUAGCCGUUUGCUGGCGCACAAGUGCAGCUGGACGUUUUCCAGCUCAAGUGUUACUCAUCAACUGUCCACUUCAGGCAGUUGGUGACCCUGAGUCAGACAAGAGGAACAGAGGUAGCCCUCCCUUUCUCUUCUGCCCUGGCCCUUCACCCUAUCACCACAGUCUCCCACACUCGCCAGCUAACCGUGCAUUGCACCCGGGCAGAUCCAAGCCUCCCCUCACACCCUUUGUCCAGGGCCAGGGACCCAUGCCUGCAGGGCACUCGGGAACAGACUCCCUGGCAUAGGCAGCUCCUCCUUAGCCGGUGGACAGAGCCUGGGCCGCCGAGCUGCCCCACCAGCCACCCCAGCUCACGCUCCUUAACCCUUGCACCCCGGGCGCCGGUGUGAGGUAGGCCAGAAAGACCUCGUGCAGGGCGCGCCUAGGGCGCGAGUGGGCGCACAGGGGCCCAGGCGCUUCUCCUCCCGGUCCCCAGACGCCGUCAGCCGGUCCAGCGAGUGACCCGCGAGGACCAGCCUGCGUUUCUCUAACUGCGAGAAUUGUUGUCCCCUGGGUCGGCCACUGUCGCGAUCGCAGACAAGCGAGAGCCCAGAAAGUGAGUGAUUCCGAGGAAGAGAGCAGGUCCCCCCACGCCCACCCCGAGGACCUCGCUGGAGCGGUCGGUCUGCGAGUUUUAUGUUACGACCCAAUUCCAAGUCAAGUGUGAACAAAGCAAAUGCGGGCAGUGCGUCUAGUAAACCUGUGGACCCCCUCCUCCCACUCCCAUUGCCCGCUGUCCGCCUCCCUCCUCCCCCAGCCCCAUCCUCCCUCUGGCGCCGCGAGCCAGGGAGCGCUGCCCGUCGGCUGCAGGAGAGGAGAGGGAGCCGGAAUCGCAGCCGAACCUACCUCGCCUGCCCCGCAUGCGGGCCUGCGUGAAGUCAAGAGUGCUGGACUCCCGCGAAAGUGGCGGUGAGGCGCUUGGGCCCUGGCCUAGAGAUGCUGAAACUGAAGAUUUUUGUCCUAAGAGAGACGAAUUGGACUUAGAAGAUUCUAAAGUGAAAAAAAGCAACAAAGAGGCUUCAAGGCAGAAAGUGGUGGGACAAAGUGAAACUUCCAGGACCUCCUUUGGAGGAACCAAACAAUAGACUAGUGGUGAUGGUGGGCAAAGCCGUGAAAGUUUGGGCGGGAGAGUGGGGAAAUGUGGAGAUGUUCACAGAGACGCCUGGGGAAAUUACCCCAGAAGCAAGUUUUUGGUGAAAGUACCAUCCUUGCUGUCUUCAUGAACCACACAGGGGAGAAUGGAAAAAGCUCUGGACAGAGCUCUAACGUGGUGUGAUAUCAGAAGACACGUGCCGGAGAAAAGCCCUACCAGUGUAAGGAAUGUGGCACACGUUCCAGCCAGAGCAGAGCUGGGAGUCCACACCCAGGAGAGCCUCAGGGUGUGCAGUGAGGAGGGAGAAAGCUUUGCUUCUGGCUCACACCUCACCAUGCCCCACUCCAGGAAGAGGCCAUAUCGUUGCCUUGACUGUAAGAAAACCUUACGUGCCCCACACAGAUGGUGCAUCAGAGAAUCCACAUUGAAAUGAAAGCAAAGAAUGUAGUGAGAGUGGCAAAAGCUUCAGGUAGAGCUCAGCACCCUCAUGAGCACUAGGUGGCGACACUGAGCCAAAACUUCGUCCUUGUGUCAUGUGUGGGAAAAGCUUGAGGUAAAGCUCAUGCCUCAUGGUGCCCCAGAGAAUCCAGCUAGGGGGAGACCCUACAAUGCAAUGGUGUCAGGUGGCUUCUGCCCCAGCAUAACCUUCAUGAUGCACAGCAGAGAAGCCCUGCAAAUCCUGGAUGUGGGAAAGUUUUGGUCAUGGCACCAGCUUAAUUUUACAUUAUAGAAUCUCCUGGAGAGAAAACUUACCAGUGUUGUGCAUGGGAGAAGAGAUGUGGUGGCAGCUCUCAUCUUUGAAGAUACCAGAAAACCCACAGCUCAGGAAUGGUUCAACAGGGGAGAGUUCUAUGAGAUUCGAUUUCCUUGGUCAUAGGCAACUUACUGGGCAACGAGAGAAUUCACUACCCAAAAGGUGACUUGUCUUAUGAAUGAAAUACCACAGGAGCAAAGCUAUCUAUUGUUUUCCUUUACCCUUGGAUUAACUGUGUGGUGUUGAAUAGAUAUUCCAGGCACAGGGGGAGAGGGCGUGUGUCUUCUCACUUACCAUCUUUAUAUUGCAGCCAAUGAAAACAAUACUGAGCAAGGGUCAGAGAUGUCGAGAUCAAGACAAGAUUGCCUUGAUAUGAAGGUUCACGACCUUUGAAAUUAGUAGGGUUAUCUCAGCGAUAACUCUGAUGUUAGGGUGAACUCUGAGAGUCCACCUGUCCAGUUUUGGCUCUAUUUUCUGCCUCUGGCUAGGCAUGUUGGAUGCUGUAGGAAAAUAUUAUCCAGGUUAGCAACCACUCUGAGGUUUUUGAGAAAUACAAAUAUUUUGUGUAAUAUUAUUGAAAGACUAUUAUGUAUAGAAUAUGUACCAUCAAAGACAAACUCUAAUUUCCUCCCUUCUUUUUCUUUACUCUUCUGGGCUGCCAAAAUACAGUUUUCUGCCAGCUUUCUCACUUGUGAUGCAGUCCACAUAAACCAGCCUUUUCCCCAGCCUCUAAGUGCAUAUCUGGGGAGCAUUCCAUCUUACACCUGGCACUUCUGGGGUUUUCUUCCUUUAAGCACUCUUGGGCCUCCACCCCAACCUGCCCCUGAUGCAAUUCCUCUCAGUCAGCUUUUCCCCUGUGCCCCUUCUUUUGGAAUUGCAGUGGGUCCACGGACACUCCAACAUUAAACUCUACAUAAAACUCUGUAUAAGCGUACACUUUUCUGGGGAGAGGCUGGUGGAUUCCAACAGAUCCUAAGAGGGUUACCUGACCCCCAAAAUGUUAAGAACCAUUGCUUCAGGAACUCUUCAGUGUUCAUGUGGGUUUUUCUUCUUAGAAACCCACCACCACUGUUCCUGUGUUUCCAGCUAUAAUUUGCCCCCACAUCACUAUGGUAGUGAGAGGGGUCUUCUUUGAAAAGCCUAAGCAGUCUAGAUUUUGCCCAAUUGCCUCCUUAGGUCUGUUGAGUUUCUGGCAGUAAGGUCAUUCAGGAAAUAGAGCAGAGAGUCAAAGUUGGACGCUUCUCUGACGGAUUCUGAUUAGCAAGUUGUUACCUUACUCUUUGGGGAUGGCCAGGGAAGAAGGGACAGAGAGAUCUCUGGAAGAUUUUUUAUGGGAAGCAAAAGUGCACAUAAACAUCCCUAGCAUUCCAAGUCAUAUCUGUCCGUCAAGGCCGCCUCCUCCACAACACCCUCUGGAGCAAGUUCAGCCUCACGCGCUUGCUGGUAGACAGGCACAUGGCACAAGAGGCCAUUUGCUCCACUCCCCAUCCAAUACAGGCCCAUUCUUAAAAGAUCCUUGACAGAUGGUCAUCAGCCCGCCAUUUCCAGGGACAGGCAGCUCAGUACUCUGACCUCUCCACCUUGCAUGAAUGGACAUCUCUGAACAUUCUAACUUAUAGCUAAUACCACAUUAUUUAAGGUAACUUCUUUAUAGGGUUUUAAGAAUAAUUAUUCCAUAAAAUAUCUAUUACAGGGAUGACACAUAAAAUGUAUGUAGUGAAUAUUUGCUUGAGUGAUUUAGUUGGACUGAGGAUGUGGGACAGCACAAAAAUUAUCCAAUGGCGUGUUUCAGUUGCUCUUUUGACAGGUGUCUAGGUAUAGAAGAAGACCAGUACAGUGGUAACAGUCAUUUCACAUAGAGAAGUUCUCAACACCCCCCAAACCUCCCCUAUUUCCAUCCUCAGGCACCUUUCAGCAAAUGAUCUCACCUUGGAUUUCGUUUACUUAAUUGAGGAACAUAAUUGUAAACCUUAUCUUCCUA